Molecule: ribosomal RNA, 1372 nt
Filed under: uncultured bacterium
Lineage: Bacteria
Description: bacterial SSU rRNA
Rfam family: Bacterial small subunit ribosomal RNA
Source: RNAcentral
GAUGAACGCUGGCGGCGUGCCUAAUACAUGCAAGUCGAGCGAACGGACGAGAAGCUUGCUUCUCUGAUGUUAGCGGCGGACGGGUGAGUAACACGUGGAUAACCUACCUAUAAGACUGGGAUAACUUCGGGAAACCGUAGCUAAUACCGGAUAAUAUUUUGAACCGCAUGGUUCAAAAGUGAAAGACGGUCUUGCUGUCACUUAUAGAUGGAUCCGCGCUGCAUUAGCUAGUUGGUAAGGUAACGGCUUACCAAGGCAACGAUGCAUAGCCGACCUGAGAGGGUGAUCGGCCACACUGGAACUGAGACACGGUCCAGACUCCUACGGGAGGCAGCAGUAGGGAAUCUUCCGCAAUGGGCGAAAGCCUGACGGAGCAACGCCGCGUGAGUGAUGAAGGUCUUCGGAUCGUAAAACUCUGUUAUUAGGGAAGAACAUAUGUGUAAGUAACUGUGCACAUCUUGACGGUACCUAAUCAGAAAGCCACGGCUAACUACGUGCCAGCAGCCGCGGUAAUACGUAGGUGGCAAGCGUUAUCCGGAAUUAUUGGGCGUAAAGCGCGCGUAGGCGGUUUUUUAAGUCUGAUGUGAAAGCCCACGGCUCAACCGUGGAGGGUCAUUGGAAACUGGAAAACUUGAGUGCAGAAGAGGAAAGUGGAAUUCCAUGUGUAGCGGUGAAAUGCGCAGAGAUAUGGAGGAACACCAGUGGCGAAGGCGAUUUUCUGGUCUGUAACUGACGCUGAUGUGCGAAAGCGUGGGGAUCAAACAGGAUUAGAUACCCUGGUAGUCCACGCCGUAAACGAUGAGUGCUAAGUGUUAGGGGGUUUCCGCCCCUUAGUGCUGCAGCUAACGCAUUAAGCACUCCGCCUGGGGAGUACGACCGCAAGGUUGAAACUCAAAGGAAUUGACGGGGACCCGCACAAGCGGUGGAGCAUGUGGUUUAAUUCGAAGCAACGCGAAGAACCUUACCAAAUCUUGACAUCCUUUGACAACUCUAGAGAUAGAGCCUUCCCCUUCGGGGGACAAAGUGACAGGUGGUGCAUGGUUGUCGUCAGCUCGUGUCGUGAGAUGUUGGGUUAAGUCCCGCAACGAGCGCAACCCUUAAGCUUAGUUGCCAUCAUUAAGUUGGGCACUCUAAGUUGACUGCCGGUGACAAACCGGAGGAAGGUGGGGAUGACGUCAAAUCAUCAUGCCCCUUAUGAUUUGGGCUACACACGUGCUACAAUGGACAAUACAAAGGGCAGCGAAACCGCGAGGUCAAGCAAAUCCCAUAAAGUUGUUCUCAGUUCGGAUUGUAGUCUGCAACUCGACUACAUGAAGCUGGAAUCGCUAGUAAUCGUAGAUCAGCAUGCUACAGUGAAUACGUUCCCGGGUCU